AGCAGCCGCGGUAAUUCCAGCUCCAAUAGCGUAUAUUAAAGUUGUUGCAGUUAAAAGCUCGUAGUUGAAUUUCGGGACCAAUCUGCCGGUCGUGCCUCCGGUACGCACUGGUUUUAUUGGUUUCUCCCUUCUGACGAACCAUGAUGUCAUUAAUUUGGUGUCAUGGGGAAUCAGGACUGUUACUUUGAAAAAAUUAGAGUGUUUAUAGCAGGCUCACGCUUGAAUACAUUAGCAUGGAAUAAUGAAAUAGGACGUUUGACCCUAUUUUGUUGGUUUCUAGGAUCGACGUAAUGAUUAAUAGGGAUAGUUGGGGGCAUUAGUAUUCAAUUGUCAGAGGUGAAAUUCUUGGAUUUAUUGAAGACUAACUACUGCGAAAGCAUUUGCCAAGGAUGUUUUCAUUAAUCAAGAACGAAAGUUAGGGGAUCGAAGACGAUCAGAUACCGUCGUAGUCUUAACCAUAAACUAUGCCGACUAGGGAUCGGACGAAGUUAAUUUUAUAAUGACGUGUUCGGCACCUUAC
This 520-nucleotide ribosomal RNA is filed under the name uncultured Glomus. Its description in RNAcentral is "SSU rRNA". It matches the Rfam family "Eukaryotic small subunit ribosomal RNA", at positions 569 to 1091 of the family's 1831-position model. The record is from RNAcentral. Lineage: Eukaryota; Fungi; Glomeromycota; Glomeromycetes; Glomerales; Glomeraceae.